GAGUCUAGGAUGUUGAAGAGAGCUGGGAGGAGAUGCCAAGAACACUAGGCUGCUUCCUACCAUCUAGCUUACAGUCCAACAUGUGAGUAACACCAAUACAAAUGAAAAGCCAUCAAAUGUGUCCAAUAGUGAAUAUCAUCCCGGCAGUCUCUGAGCUAGGAGGGAGAGUCCUGGAGAGGUGUUUAUUUUCUGAUAUAAAAAAGUCACAAAAUUGAAACUACUGAGCUUUUCACCUGUAAAGUUGCUAUUCUGGCAUAGUCUACAGAUUAAACAUUAAACACUCAACUACAUAGCAAGAAUCUGGAGCUAUUGUUUGGGCUGUCCAUGGAGAUGUCUUUGCCAACUGUGUCCAGUUGUGGCAGCUGACAUUAUCUCUACGGUAGAAUUCAACCACACGGGAGAAUUACUAGCGACAGGGGACAAGGGGGGUCGGGUUGUAAUAUUUCAACGAGAGCAGGAGAGUAAAAAUCAGGUUCAUCGUAGGGGUGAAUACAAUGUUUACAGCACAUUCCAGAGCCAUGAACCCGAGUUCGAUUACCUGAAG
This 544-nucleotide long non-coding RNA is filed under the name Homo sapiens (human). RNAcentral's name for it is "non-protein coding lnc-PPP2R2B-4:2". The record is from RNAcentral. Lineage: Eukaryota; Metazoa; Chordata; Mammalia; Primates; Hominidae.